AACGCACAUUGCGCCCUUUGGUAUUCCUUAGGGCAUGCCUGUUCGAGCGUCAUUUCAACCUUCAAGCUCAGCUUGGUGAUGGGUGAUUGUCCCGCCUCUCGCGCGUGGACUCGCCUCAAAAGCAUUGGCAGCCGGUACGUUGGCUUCGAGCGCAGCACAUUAGCGUCUCGUGCCUGGCGGAUCGCCUAUCCAACAAGCAAAACCCCCCAAUGUUGACCUCGGAUCAGGUAGGGAUACCCGCUGAACUUAA
RNAcentral lists this unclassified non-coding RNA (250 nucleotides) under uncultured Pleosporales. Its description in RNAcentral is "sequence contains 5.8S rRNA gene, ITS2, 28S rRNA gene". Lineage: Eukaryota; Fungi; Ascomycota; Dothideomycetes; Pleosporales. The record is from RNAcentral.